UCCCUCCGUCCCCUGCACCAGAACGACCGCGGAAGCCAUGGCCUCGCCGAGGAAAGAGGCGGUGCCCGCAAGUACUACUGCGUCGCGGCGGCUCGUUCGCCGGCGCGCGCGUGCAUCGGUACGACGGUUUGCAGCUCUCCGUCGAACCUGGUGCCCACGUUGCGCGCGCGGCGGGCCGGGGCUGCUUCACCCGGCGAGGUGGUGCCGGCCUAGCGGACGCGGAGGCGCAGCUCCGCCGUUCUGCCCUCCGUCUCCACCGAGGCCCAGACCGUGGCAUUCGCCGCCCCCUGCUCCGGGACGCCGACGUGCAGAGCAACAGGAGGAGGUGCGAGGCGUCCUAGCUGUAGUCCCGCCGGUCCAGCAGCUUCUCCCUCACAUCCCUUGCAGCUACCUUGGAGGGGCAACAGUUUCCAGACUGAAAGAUUGAGCGGGAGGAGCUAUUCUGCGUGCUGAUGGUUGGUGAACAUGUUGCACAUGCCCUGCUGCUCAGGCAUUCCAGCUGCCUGGGACCUAGACGACGACCCAAGCCUGAUGCUGCUGCAUGUCUUUAUUGACUGCAGUUCUACCAUAGUGAGUACAGCCCAAGGAGGUCGUGAAGGCGAGGAUGGGGUGUAG
Lolium perenne is the source of this 615-nucleotide non-coding RNA. The record is from RefSeq and is a predicted model, not a curated record. Lineage: Eukaryota; Viridiplantae; Streptophyta; Magnoliopsida; Poales; Poaceae.